AUUGAACGCUGGCGGCAGGCUUAACACAUGCAAGUCGAGCGAGCGGCGGACGGGUGAGUAAUGUCUGGGAAACUGCCUGAUGGAGGGGGAUAACUACUGGAAACGGUAGCUAAUACCGCAUACCAUCAGCUGUGCCCAGAUGGGAUUAGCUAGUAGGUGGGGUAAUGGCUAACCAAGGCGACGACCCCUAGCUGGUCUGAGAGGAGGACCAGCCACACUGAAACAGAGACACGGUCCAGCCACCUACGCGAGGCAGCAGUGGGGAAGAGUGCACAAUGAGAGCAAGCCUGAUGCAGCCAUGCCGCUUGUGUGAAGAAGGCCUUCGGGUUGUAAAGCACUUUCAGCGAGAAGGCGUUACUCACAGAAGAAGCACCGGCUAACUCCGUGCCAGCCGCCGCGGUAAUUC
Molecule: ribosomal RNA, 406 nt
Filed under: uncultured bacterium
Lineage: Bacteria
Description: partial 16S ribosomal RNA
Rfam family: Bacterial small subunit ribosomal RNA
Source: RNAcentral